This 1068-nucleotide ribosomal RNA is filed under the name uncultured bacterium. RNAcentral's name for it is "bacterial SSU rRNA". It matches the Rfam family "Bacterial small subunit ribosomal RNA", at positions 34 to 1071 of the family's 1533-position model. The record is from RNAcentral.
CGCUGGCGGCGCGCCUAACACAUGCAAGUCGAACGGGGUUAUAGCACGAAGCUCGCUUCGGCAGGUGGAUGCCAUAACUUAGUGGCGAACGGGUGAGUAACACAUGGGUAACCUGCCCUUAGGAUUGGGAUACUCCCGGGAAACCGGGCACAAUACCGAAUAUGAUUCCGGGGUGAAAUUCCCAGGGAUAAAAGCUGCGAGCAAUCGUGGCGCCUAAGGAUGGGCCUGUGCCCUAUCAGCUAGUUGGUGAGGUAAUGGCUCACCAAGGCUAAGACGGGUAGCCGGACUGAGAGGUUGAUCGGCCACACUGGAACUGAGACACGGUCCAGACUCCUACGGGAGGCAGCAGUGAGGAAUUUUGCGCAAUGGGCGAAAGCCUGACGCAGCGACACCGCGUGGGGGAAGAAGGCCUUCGGGUUGUAAACCCCUUUCAUGAGGGAAAAAGUCCCGAGCAAUCGGGAUGAUGGUACCUCAAGAAGAAGCCACGGCUAACUCUGUGCCAGCAGCCGCGGUAAGACAGAGGUGGCAAGCGUUGUUCGGAUUUACUGGGCUUAAAGGGCGUGUAGGCGUCCUGAUAAGUCAGAUGUGGAAGCCUUAGGCUUAACCUAAGAAUUGCAUUUGAAACUAUCGGGAUUGAGUCAGGCAAGGGAGGGCAGAAUUCCUGGGUAGCGGUGAAAUGCGUAGAUAUCAGGAGGAAGGCCGGUGGCGAAGGCGGCCCUCUGGCAAUACUGACGCUGAGGCGCGAAAGCGUGGGUAGCAAACAGGAUUAGAUACCCUGGUAGUCCACGCCCUAAACGGUGGGUACUAGGUGUGGGUGGCGAUAGUCAUCCGUGCCGUAGGGAAACCAUUAAGUACCCCGCCUGGGGAGUACGGCCGCAAGGUUGAAACUCAAAGGAAUUGACGGGGGCCCGCACAAGCGGUGGAGCAUGUGGUUUAAUUCGACGCUACGCGAAAAACCUUACCUGGGCUUGACAUGCAGGUGGUAGGAACCCGAAAGGGCGACGACCCAUUCUUCGGAAUAGGAGCCUGCACAGGUGCUGCAUGGCUGUCGUCAGCUCGUGCCGUGAG